This 804-nucleotide ribosomal RNA is filed under the name uncultured Actinomycetes bacterium. RNAcentral describes it as "bacterial SSU rRNA". It matches the Rfam family "Bacterial small subunit ribosomal RNA", at positions 8 to 818 of the family's 1533-position model. The record is from RNAcentral. Lineage: Bacteria; Bacillati; Actinomycetota; Actinomycetes.
AGAGUUUGAUUCUGGCUCAGGAUGAACGCUGGCGGCGUGCCUAAUGCAUGCAAGUCGAACGACGCAUAUCGGAGGGGUAACCCACUGGUAUGACGGAGUGGCGAACGGGUGAGUAACACGUGAGCAACCUGCCCCACAGACCGGGACAGCCCAGGGAAACCUGGAUUAAUACCGGAUAUCCUCGGAGGAUCGCAUGAUCCAUCGAGGAAAUACCUUUGUGCUGUGGGAUGGGCUCGCGACUUAUCAGCUAGUUGGUGGGGUAACGGCCUACCAAGGCGUCGACGAGUAGCUGGUCUGAGAGGACGAUCAGCCACACUGGGACUGAGACACGGCCCAGACUCCUACGGGAGGCAGCAGCAGGGAAUCUUGCGCAAUGGACGAAAGUCUGACGCAGCAACGCCGCGUGGGGGAUGAAGGCCUUCGGGUUGUAAACCCCUUUCAGGAGGGAAGAAAUUGACGGUACCUCCAAAAGAAGCACCGGCCAACUACGUGCCAGCAGCCGCGGUAAUACGUAGGGUGCGAGCGUUAUCCGGAAUCAUUGGGCGUAAAGAGCUCGUAGGCGGUUCAGCAAGUCGGCUGUGAAAGUCCGAGGCUUAACCUCGGAAGUGCAGUCGAUACUGCUGUGACUCGAGUCCGGUAGAGGAGAAUGGAAUUCCCGGUGUAGCGGUGAAAUGCGCAGAUAUCGGGAGGAACACCAGUAGCGAAGGCGGUUCUCUGGGCCGGCACUGACGCUGAGGAGCGAAAGCGUGGGUAGCAAACAGGAUUAGAUACCCUGGUAGUCCACGCCGUAAACGUUGGAUACUA